RNAcentral lists this long non-coding RNA (732 nucleotides) under Homo sapiens (human). Its description in RNAcentral is "HSALNT0351725". Lineage: Eukaryota; Metazoa; Chordata; Mammalia; Primates; Hominidae. The record is from RNAcentral.
CUCAGGACAGGGGCCAGGGCUGGAGUUGGGACUGGAUUCAGAGAGAGAGUCAACGUCGGCAGAGCGAGAAUGGCAGGCCCAGCAGAGGAUGACCCAGAGCAGCAGCAGCAAGAAGCCCACGAGACCGUUGCAGACGAUGGCGAUGAGGGCCCCCUGGGAGAUGGCUGCCCCCAUGACAGGCAGCACCCUCAGACCAGCACAGACAGUGGAGCUGCCUCAAUGGCCAGUGAUUGUCACCUAUUCUGAUCCGGCCGUCUUCUCAUCCCGCUCUACAUGCUCUCCUUGGAGGAUCACAUCCCUGAAGCUAUAUCAUGAAGACUCCCAGUGCUCCCAAGUCUAGCCUUAACUUCUCUCUGGAAUCCUAGACUCAUAUAACUAAGUGCCUACUGUAAUCGGGGCAGUAUUGAUUCCUGGUUCACUUACUAACUUUGUGAUCUUGAGCAAGUUACUAAAUCUCUCUUAGCCUCAGCUUCCUCAUCUGUAAAAUGGUUGUAAUGCUACCUCUCAGGGUUGUUAUUCACUAAUUUAUAGCAGAUCGAUCACAUCUCAGCAAAUGCCAGCUGACACAACCCCCAGGACCAUGUGACUAAGAGGCCCCUUCCCCCAAUCCAAUGCCAUGAAAUUCACAUAAGACCCCUGUAAAUCCAGAUGCUAUCUUGAAAGAAGAAAGGGAAGACUGAGUCAUCCAAAGCUACCAAAGUACUUAGAGACUGUCUAAAAUAAAUUAUUGGA